Molecule: ribosomal RNA, 431 nt
Filed under: uncultured bacterium
Lineage: Bacteria
Description: partial 16S ribosomal RNA
Rfam family: Bacterial small subunit ribosomal RNA
Source: RNAcentral
GAUGAACGCUGGCGGCAGGCUUAACACAUGCAAGUCGAACGCCCCGCAAGGGGAGUGGCAGACUGGUGAGUAACGCGUGGGAACAUACCCUUUUCUACGGAAUAGCUCUGGGAAACUGGAAUUAAUACCGUAUACGCCCUACGGGGGAAAGAUUUAUCGGGGAAGGAUUGGCCCGCGUUGGAUUAGCUAGUUGGUGGGGUAAAGGCCUACCAAGGCGACGAUCCAUAGCUGGUCUGAGAGGAUGAUCAGCCACAUUGGGACUGAGACACGGCCCAAACUCCUGCGGGAGGCAGCAGUGGGGAAUAUUGGAAAAUGGGCGCAAGCAUGAUCCAGCCAUGCCGCGUGAGUGAUGAAGGCCUUAGGGUUGUAAAGCUCUUUCACCGAUGAAGAUAAUGACGGUAGUCGGAGAAGAAGCCCCGGCUAACUUCGUG